This 324-nucleotide ribosomal RNA is filed under the name uncultured bacterium. Its description in RNAcentral is "bacterial SSU rRNA". It matches the Rfam family "Bacterial small subunit ribosomal RNA", at positions 180 to 507 of the family's 1533-position model. The record is from RNAcentral.
UCCGGGAGGGCAUCCUCUGGAUAUACAAAGUCUUUAUGUGCUGAGAGAUGGUCUCGCGUCUGAUUAGCUAGAUGGCGGGGUAACGGCCCACCAUGGCGACGAUCAGUAGCCGGUCUGAGAGGAUGAACGGCCACAGUUGGGACUGAGAUACCGGCCCAGACCUCCGUACGGGGAGGCAGCAGGUGGGGAAUUAGUUGGGACAAGUGGGGGAAACCCUGACCCAGCAACGCCGCGUGAAGGAAGAAGGCCUUCGGGUUGUAAACUUCUUUUACCAGGGACGAAGAACGUGACGGUACCUGGAGAAAAGCAACGGCUAACUACGUG